Molecule: ribosomal RNA, 492 nt
Filed under: uncultured bacterium
Lineage: Bacteria
Description: partial 16S ribosomal RNA
Rfam family: Bacterial small subunit ribosomal RNA
Source: RNAcentral
AGUGAACGCUGGCGGUAGGCCUAACACAUGCAAGUCGAACGGCAGCACAGUAAGAGCUUGCUCUUACGGGUGGCGAGUGGCGGACGGGUGAGGAAUACAUCGGAAUCUACUUUUUCGUGGGGGAUAACGUAGGGAAACUUACGCUAAUACCGCAUACGACCUACGGGUGAAAGCAUGGGAUCUUCGGACCUUGCGCGAUUGAAUGAGCCGAUGUCGGAUUAGCUAGUUGGCGGGGUAAAGGCCCACCAAGGCGACGAUCCGUAGCUGGUCUGAGAGGAUGAUCAGCCACACUGGAACUGAGACACGGUCCAGACUCCUACGGGAGGCAGCAGUGGGGAAUAUUGGACAAUGGGCGCAAGCCUGAUCCAGCCAUACCGCGUGUGUGAAGAAGGCCUUCGGGUUGUAAAGCACUUUUGUUGGGAAAGAAAAGCAGCAGGAUAAUACCCCGCUGUUCUGACGGUACCCAAAGAAUAAGCACCGGCUAACUUCGUG